RNAcentral lists this ribosomal RNA (392 nucleotides) under uncultured Gammaproteobacteria bacterium. RNAcentral's name for it is "bacterial SSU rRNA". It matches the Rfam family "Bacterial small subunit ribosomal RNA", at positions 370 to 779 of the family's 1533-position model. The record is from RNAcentral. Lineage: Bacteria; Pseudomonadati; Pseudomonadota; Gammaproteobacteria.
AAUGGGCGCAAGCCUGAUCCAGCCAUGCCGCGUGAGUGAUGAAGGCCUUAGGGUCGUAAAGCUCUUUCGCCAGAGAUGAUAAUGACAGUAUCUGGUAAAGAAACCCCGGCUAACUCCGUGCCAGCAGCCGCGGUAAUACGGAGGGGGUUAGCGUUGUUCGGAAUUACUGGGCGUAAAGCGCACGUAGGCGGAUCAGAAAGUAUAGGGUGAAAUCCCAGGGCUCAACCCUGGAACUGCCUUGUAAACUCCUGGUCUUGAGUUCGAGAGAGGUGAGUGGAAUUCCGAGUGUAGAGGUGAAAUUCGUAGAUAUUCGGAGGAACACCAGUGGCGAAGGCGGCUCACUGGCUCGAUACUGACGCUGAGGUGCGAAAGUGUGGGGAGCAAACAGGAUU